CAGGACUGGCUAAAAACAAAAUAAGAUAAAUAAAAAUCUGAAGACUAUAAAGUUUAAAUAUCAUUUCCAUUUAAAUCCAAUAAAACAAAAUAUUACAGCAAUUUAUACUUGGCAAGGGAAAUAAUCCACAAAUAUGGUUGAAAUUACAACACAAAGCCCACUUUAUGUGGAAAGGUCAUUAGCCUGCAAGUAGGUUGGCUAUCCUUGCACACUGGCUGUAUAAAGAGGUAAACCUGACUUGGUAGAAUAAAUGGAAUGAAGGCUAUGGCAGAAACUUUGGUUCAUACUGCAUGACAGUUAAGAAGGCAGCCUCUGGAGUAAAACUUUCUGGGUUACAAGACAGGUUAUACUAAUUCCCAGGGAUGUGGCCCUGCUAGCCCCAAGUAUUUUCAUCUGCAAAAUAGGGACAAUAAAUACUUAGUACCCCAAGCUCUGCUAUAAGGAUUAGGUAAGAUUGUGUCUGUUGAGUGCUCAACAUGAUGCUUGGCAUGAAGCUAAGGGCUCCUUCUUUUCAACAUGAAGACAGGGCACAGAAUAGGCGCUCUAAAAACCCAUAAUCACAUCUAGUCUUCCCAAAUCUCCUGCAGAUUCAUACUGACGUUGGCAUGCACUGUCACUCUGAAAGUGUUCAAAUGAACAAUGUUCCAGUAAGCAGCAACUAUUUCACUCCCAAUGCUAAAACUUGUUUCCUUUGAGUAGUUUUCAAGAAAAAGCAAAGAUUAGGAGCAAGUAGCGAUCCCUACCCUGAAACACAUUACUAGGGUGGAAAUCGAGGCUCUUCUGAAGAGCUUACUUCAAGUUAUCACUUUGGGGCCUUUGUUAGAGAUCUUUUUUCAGAUAUUUUUGCACAAAGAAGUCUUUGUUGGCACAAUGGCUCCCCACUGGUUGUUUCCAGACAAUCUUUUCACACCAAUACUUCUAUUGGAAAGUACAAUCCGAAUUUAUUCCUCUCUCAAAAGAUCUAACUGAAAAGGUUCUGGAGUGCACCUCGGAUUUUAAAAAUCCCUGGUGGCACUUGUUCCUUUUCUCUCCUCUACAUACUAAGUACACUAUUUCAAAGCUAUCCCUCCAAUACAACAAAUACGGGACAGCUCCACCCUGGCCCUCCAUAUAUGGUCAUACCCCUCCAAUCCAUCUAUAGCCAACCAACCACCCACUCCAGCUCUAACCCACCCUCAAAGGCCGAACUAAACUUACCUCCUCCCUCUCCGCUCUAUUUUUAAUAAGUCAAAAAGUUAGAAGAAGAAGAAAAAAAAAGUUUGGUAAAGAAAGUAAGGAAAAACCAAUCCGAAAAAUAUCAUCUCUGAAAACACCUCCAGUCCCUAGUCUUCGAUUCUUCACGAUUCCAAAUGUCACCCACCUGUCCAACCUACUACUAAUAACAAUAGCCCUCCCUUUGGGGAAAUAAUCAGUCCCAGUAGGGCCCAGCGCUGGCAUUAAUGAAGCGUGUCUGAACAACCCUGAGCCCAUUAUUAAAUGCAGGCAGCCAAGAGCUCUGGGCCAAACACACCUCGGCUCUACACAACCAUUUCAAAGACUUUCAAGGUCUAGUUUUGUGCACCUUCAGAUCAGAUGCCAACUUUCUGAUCGCCGUUUAAGAAAAAAAAAAAAGAGAGAGAGGGAAAGAGAAAGAGGGAGGGGGGCCGAUCGUCGCGUUACCAAGGUAACUGCGAAAUGUCCGGCUGCCAAGGCCC
This is a long non-coding RNA of Perognathus longimembris pacificus (Pacific pocket mouse), 1694 nucleotides long. RefSeq lists it as uncharacterized. NCBI's taxonomy places the organism in Eukaryota, Metazoa, Chordata, Mammalia, Rodentia, Heteromyidae. The transcript is spliced from 3 exons. The record is from RefSeq and is a predicted model, not a curated record.